GAUGAACGCUGGCGGCGUGCUUAACACAUGCAAGUCGAACGAAGCACCUCUCCCGAAGAUUGACACAGCUUGCUGUAGCUUGAUUCAUUUGAGGUGACUGAGUGGCGGACGGGUGAGUAACGCGUGGGUAACCUGCCUCAUAGAGGGGGACAACAGUUGGAAACGACUGCUAAUACCGCAUAGUAAGAAGAAUUCGCAUGUUUUCUUCUUGAAAGAUUUAUCGCUAUGAGAUGGACCCGCGUCUGAUUAGCUAGUUGGUAAGGUAACGGCUUACCAAGGCGACGAUCAGUAGCCGGCUUGAGAGAGUGAACGGCCACAUUGGGACUGAGACACGGACCAAACUCCUACGGGAGGCAGCAGUGGGGAAUAUUGCACAAGGGGGGAAAACCUGAGGCAGCGACGCCGCGUGAGUGAAGAAGUAUUUCGGUAUGUAAAGCUCUAUCAGCAGGGAAGAUAAUGACGGUACCUGACUAAGAAGCCCCGGCUAACUACGUG
This 495-nucleotide ribosomal RNA is filed under the name uncultured bacterium. RNAcentral's name for it is "partial 16S ribosomal RNA". It matches the Rfam family "Bacterial small subunit ribosomal RNA", at positions 28 to 507 of the family's 1533-position model. The record is from RNAcentral.